UACGUAGGGUGCGAGCGUUAAUCGGAAUUACUGGGCGUAAAGCGUGCGCAGGCGGUUUGUUAAGACAGGCGUGAAAUCCCCGGGCUCAACCUGGGAACUGCGCUUGUGACUGGCAGGCUAGAGUACGGCAGAGGGGGGUGGAAUUCCACGUGUAGCAGUGAAAUGCGUAGAGAUGUGGAGGAGCACCAAUGGCGAAGGCAGCCCCCUGGGUCGAUACUGACGCUCAUGCACGAAAGCGUGGGUAGCAAACAGG
This 253-nucleotide ribosomal RNA is filed under the name uncultured bacterium. Its description in RNAcentral is "partial 16S ribosomal RNA". It matches the Rfam family "Bacterial small subunit ribosomal RNA", at positions 524 to 776 of the family's 1533-position model. The record is from RNAcentral.